Molecule: long non-coding RNA, 3262 nt
Organism: Xiphophorus hellerii (green swordtail)
Lineage: Eukaryota; Metazoa; Chordata; Actinopteri; Cyprinodontiformes; Poeciliidae
Exons: 3
Source: RefSeq, a predicted model, not a curated record
ACAGAAACAUGCAGCAAAUCGAGACAGAAAGGAGAAAAUAGUUAAACAAUACUUUAAUUUUAUAGCUAUUUUUAUAUAUAAACUGAUAAAUGCACUUCUCUGGUUAAACAGACUCUUCUCUGAGAGGGUAUAAAAUAAAUAGAUCAUGGAGCAGUGAUGUCAUCAUUCUGGCAGAGCCGUCUGCCUCCUAAUAAAUGAUCUUGUUCAGUGAGGUCAGACACAGCUUGACAUGACUCUCCCUGAUAAGAUGAAUAGAAACUGUUCAUGCUUUUAGCUCCUGUGAGUUAGUUUUGUCUGGUCGGGCACCUUUUAGCAAAACCAUUUGAAAGCCUGUUUAGACAAAUCGGACAAGGUCCACAGAACACCACUUUCCUGCAACAAUUAUGUCAGCAAAUUCCCCAAAAUGGAGACCACAAUGAAUUAUCCCAAGUAUCUACCUACUUAUCAUCUUCUUCUCUACUUUUUCUCUCUUACCAUUAAACUACAUUUGUGUUUAUAAGAGGCUGGAGAGAAAAAAAAAUUAUAAAUUUAAAAUCAAAUACCUGCACUGCAACAGAAAUUUAUAUCAAUAUAUUUGGUGCAGACAUUUUGAUGUUCUUUAUAGUCCUUAUAACGUUUUUGCUCAUGUGCAAACAUUAUGUGCUGCGCAAAUCCAACAUUGCACAGCACCUGAAACACAUAAUCCCUGUCAUGAAACACUGUAGUGGCAGCAUCAUGCUGUGGUUAUCCUUUUCUCUAUCAGGGUCAGGGAAGCUGAUUGGAGUUGAUGGGAAGAUAUGUGGAUCUAGAUAUAGAUUCUGGAAGAAAAUCCAUUAAAGACUACAAAGGACUUCAAAAUGGGGCAAAGGUUCACCAUUCAGUGGGAAAACUACCAUAAACAUGCAGUCAAAACUACAACUGCAUGGUCAAAACAUAACCAUGGUUACAUCAAAUACAUUUUGUAAAAAUAUUUUCCUCCCCCUUCCCUUUGACACACCGCUUUAUGUUAUAGUCCAUCACAGACAAUCCAAAUCCAAUACAUUUAAGCUUUUGGUCAUAAUGCCACAAACUGUUCAGAAGUUUAAAUGGAAGAGAUUGUAACUUUUUAUUCUUCAUCACAUAUUCUAAUCUCAUUUUUGCAUUUUUGUGAAGCCUUCAUGCUUGGCUCUGUCAGAACAAAUCGACUCCCUUCAGUGAAUCUGGGUUAUAUAAUGAACUGUUUUAACAGAACAGUCUCUUCUCACCAACAGUCUGCUUCAGCAACAGCACAUUUCUUCAACUCCAUGCAGUUCAGUCACCUGUUCUCAGAAAAUCUGCUCCCUGACUGUUAAACUUGGAGGCUAAUAAGGGUUAAAUUGUUUUAACACAAUUAAGAUUGAAGUAUUUCAGCAAAUAUCUGGUGGAAGCAGUGGACUGGGUGUUUUCUUGUUUUCAUGUUUGUGGAAACAGCGACAUUUUUGAGCUACAGAUGAUUUUCUUCAAACAUUUGUCAUAUCCCCUGCAUGGCUUAGAUGUAUCCUUGUGAAAUAUGACAAGAUAAUGCAUACUGCAACAAAAGGAUUUAAGAAACUAAAUCACCAGCUAAAGUCCAAAUAUAUACACUUUAAACUUUGUUGUAGAAUCAAGCAAUUACUCUCUAGUUAAAGGUGAAGCAGCCAGGAUAUUAAUGGCUGACCUCCCUCCCUCUGUGGGAUUCAGUCCACCCACUUCUAACCUUGCCGUGAAACAAUCUGGCAACAUGAACACAGACCUUUUACAUUCAAAGCAAGCAGAGCCAUAACUUUCCUCUACUCAAUAAUCUACUUCCUUUAAGUUAAACCUUUAGUUCAGAUUAGUCUGUUUUCACCUGAUACCGAGCCGUUUAUUAGCUUUUUCAAAGCUUGCAAUUGAGAUGUAACUUUAAGUUUGGACUGUGUAUUUUGGUCUGCAUUCUGCGACACUGUCGCUUUUUCUAGAUUUUAUUUUAGUCCCUAAGUAUAAAUCAAACAAACAUAUACAGUAAUUACGUCAGGAAUCUUCUAUCUAUUCAUUUAUGAAUUUAAGUCAAAUCUUCUGCUUUAUCUAAGCUUAUGGUUUUUGAUGAACAAUGAUUACCUACGAGAGCAUUGGUGACUAAAGGCUUGGAUGCAGCUGGUCGUAGAAAACUGUUCAAGGAAGCUCUGUCCGCUCUGUUCUUGAGCUAAUCUGAAGGCCACAUGAGGUUUGGAGAUCUACAGUUACUGACUCUGCAGAAAGCAACCUCAAGGCACUAUACUGCUGACUUCGCACUGUGGUUUUCCAUGACCUCCCACUUUGAAUUGCAGUCGCUCCAAUUAAUUUCCACUUUGAUAUAAUACCACUAAUACCGGUGUGUUGAAUACUUAGUAGUGAGAAAGUUUCAGUUGGCAUCCCAUAUUGUUACCACAAUGGAAAUCACAGAUCUCCUAAGAGUGACCAGUUAUUUUACACGUUUGCAGAAGCAGUCUGCACCCCUCAGUGCUGGAUUUUACACACUUGUGGACAUGAAAGUGUUCUGAACACAUGAAUUAAAUUGUUUGGAGGGAUGAACAAAUACAUUUGGAAAGAAAGUGUCAGACAUUUGGUCAGACAGCUAUCCUCCUUCAGCGUAACAAAAACAAUAAGAAAAUAUAGAACAUGUUCAACUUUUUCUAGAAGAAAUUACGGACUUUUGUUGUACCUUUGUGUAGAGAAUGCAAGUCAAUAAUUUGCUAUGCUUUAGUUGUUGCACAUGUAUUUAUUGUUUUGUUGUUUCUUGGUAGUUGAGAUCGCACCUGCAGGCUCUGCUAAUAAGGAAAAGGUAUGGUAAAGUGGGAGAGGGACAAUGUGGGCCAGGACAAGGUCUUAGAAUAUUAUUUUGUGAGCUAUGAACCAAAAUAUAAAGCAUGAUCAAAAGGAGGAGUGAAAAUGAAAAGGGUUCAAAAACUGCCUUGUUAAUCUUCAUUUCAGAUAUCCAACAAAUAAUCUGUGACCAGUAAGGCUGUAUUUCCAAUCAAAAAUGGCAACCCAGAAUUAUAUUCACUGUUUUACUCUCCUAAGAUAACCAGUUAUGUGACGAACACCAGCAGACCAGGAAAUCAAAGGUAAUGAUGUAUUUACAAAAAAAGUAGAUCAAUGAAUAAAUUACUUUCAAACAGCAAUUAUUUUCAUUAGUUCAUCUGUCCCUGCUGUUAAUUGAAACCUAUCUGAGACAUGAGGUACAUGAGGUCAUAAUUCACCUGAAAGAGGUGUGUGAAGCAGAGCUGUGGUUUGAGUGCACAUAGGCGCAGUAGCUUGUGUGAAAACA